Molecule: non-coding RNA, 664 nt
Organism: Solanum lycopersicum (tomato)
Lineage: Eukaryota; Viridiplantae; Streptophyta; Magnoliopsida; Solanales; Solanaceae
Source: RefSeq, a predicted model, not a curated record
AAAGAAUUGAGGAUAACCACUGGUGUCGAGGCGAUCCAGAUAUGCUCCUGGAGAAGGAUCGUCACUGCUCUUCCACGACGACAUAGUCCAAUACUUGCCGGUGACCAAGUUAAGGCCUAACUUCAUGCCAGCAGGCUAAGGAAUACAAAAAUUACACCAACUGAUGAUGCCAGAAUGCAAUUAUCUCCAGGUAUUACGAUGUAAGGACCCCAACCAUCACCCCAAGUCAAAAGUUGUGCUACACCAUUUUAGUUAAGUACCAAUGUCGCGAUAACUGAAGAUGUGAGGUUAUAUCCAAAGUACACCUCUUUCUUACUUGAAAAUAUUUCAUAUUUUAUAGAAAGUACUGUCUCUUGAGCUUAUUGCCCCACCAUUCCACACUCCAGAGCGAUAUAUCACAUUUGAUCCCUUCUUCAGGAUGUUCUGUGGAUAUCUUGAAGGAUCACAAUGAUAUGUAUGAUAUCACCAGGAGAUGGAUCAUCUUCAUUUUUCCAAGAGGAUAAAUACACCUCUCGUCCUGUUACAAAAUUUGGUGCAUUGAAGACAAGAACAUGAACAUAAAUAUAAUGCAAGUAAUAAUAUACAUGUUUGUGAAUUGUUUGAUUGUGUUUUAUUAAGCUUAUUAUAAGUAAUAGUAGCAUAGUUAACUAAUAAUCCAAGUUAA